AUACGGCGGAUCCGAGCGUUAUCCGGAUUUAUUGGGUUUAAAGGGUGCGCAGGCGGCCAUUUAAGUCAGCGGUUAAAUCGUGGGGCUCAACCCCAUUCUGCCGUUGAUACUGGGUGGCUUGAUUGCGGUCGAGGUUGGCGGAAUUCGUUGUGUAGCGGUGGAAUGCAUAGAUAUGACGAAGAACACCGAUUGCGUAGGCAGCUGACCAGACCGCAAAUGACGCUCAUGCACGAAAGUGCGGGGAUCGAACAGGAUUAGAUACCCUGGUAGUCCGCACAGUAAACGAUGAAUACUUGUUUUCGGCGAUAUAAUGUCGGAGGCAAAGCGAAAGCGAUAAGUAUUCCACCUGGGGAGUACGCCGGCAACGGUGAAACUCAAAGGAAUUGGCGGGG
Molecule: ribosomal RNA, 392 nt
Filed under: uncultured bacterium
Lineage: Bacteria
Description: partial 16S ribosomal RNA
Rfam family: Bacterial small subunit ribosomal RNA
Source: RNAcentral